Molecule: ribosomal RNA, 425 nt
Filed under: uncultured bacterium
Lineage: Bacteria
Description: partial 16S ribosomal RNA
Rfam family: Bacterial small subunit ribosomal RNA
Source: RNAcentral
GUGGGGAAUAUUGCACAAUGGGGGAAACCCUGAUGCAGCAACGCCGCGUGAGUGAUGAAGGCCUUCGGGUUGUAAAGCUCUGUCUUUGGGGACGAUAAUGACGGUACCCGAGGAGGAAGCCACGGCUAACUACGUGCCAGCAGCCGCGGUAAUACGUAGGUGGCAAGCGUUGUCCGGAUUUACUGGGCGUAAAGGGAGCGUAGGUGGAUAUUUAAGUGGGAUGUGAAAUCCCCGGGCUUAACCUGGGGGCUGCAUUCCAAACUGGAUGUCUAGAGUGCAGGAGAGGAGAGUGGAAUUCCUAGUGUAGCGGUGAAAUGCGUAGAGAUUAGGAAGAACACCAGUGGCGAAGGCGACUCUCUGGACUGUAACUGACACUGAGGCUCGAAAGCGUGGGGAGCAAACAGGAUUAGAAACCCUAGUAGUCC